Molecule: ribosomal RNA, 301 nt
Filed under: uncultured bacterium
Lineage: Bacteria
Description: partial 16S ribosomal RNA
Rfam family: Bacterial small subunit ribosomal RNA
Source: RNAcentral
CAGUAGCCACGGUAAUACGUAGGUCCCGAGCGCUGUCCGGAUUUACUGGGCGUAAAGGGAGCGUAGACGGUUAAACAAGUCUGAAGUGAAAUGCCGGGGCUCAACCCCGGAGCUGCUUUGGGAACUGUAGAACUGGAGUGUCGGAGGGGUAAGCGGAAUUCCCAGUGUAGCGGUGAAGUGCGUAGAUAUUGGGAGGAACACCGGCGGCGAAGGCGGCUUACUGGACGACAACUGACGCUGAGGCGCGAAAGCGUGGGGAGCAAACAGGAUUAGAUACCCCUGUAGUCCCUGUCUCUUAUAC